This 152-nucleotide non-coding RNA is filed under the name Paenibacillus sp. RNAcentral's name for it is "SAM-I sequence". It matches the Rfam family "SAM riboswitch aptamer (S box leader)". From Rfam's summary of the family: The SAM riboswitch is found upstream of a number of genes which code for proteins involved in methionine or cysteine biosynthesis in Gram-positive bacteria. The SAM riboswitch acts at the level of transcription termination control. RNAcentral also lists the same sequence under 1 other name. Lineage: Bacteria; Bacillati; Bacillota; Bacilli; Caryophanales; Paenibacillaceae. The record is from RNAcentral.
CUCUUAUCAAGAGCAGGUGGAGGGACUAGCCCGAUGAUACCCGGCAACCGACAGACCUUUGCGUAAACAACACGUUGAUGUUUUUUCAGCAUGGCAAAGGAAUGCACGGUGCUAAUUCUUGCGGAAGCCAGGCGGCUUCUGACAGAUGAGAG